AGCAGCACGAUGGGACGAUAUCCCGCA
Molecule: small RNA, 27 nt
Filed under: Bombyx mori (domestic silkworm)
Lineage: Eukaryota; Metazoa; Arthropoda; Insecta; Lepidoptera; Bombycidae
Description: ovarian small RNA-12044
Source: RNAcentral